GAUGAACGCUGGCGGCGUGCCUAAUACAUGCAAGUCGAGCGAACAGACGAGGAGCUUGCUCCUCUGACGUUAGCGGCGGACGGGUGAGUAGCACGUGGAUAACCUACCUAUAAGACUGGGAUAACUUCGGGAAACCGGAGCUAAUACCGGAUAACAUGUUGAACCGCAUGGUUCAACAGUGAAAGACGGUCUUGCUGUCGCUUAUAGAUGGAUCCGCGCCGCAUUAGCUAGUUGGUAAGGUAACGGCUUACCAAGGCAACGAUGCGUAGCCGACCUGAGAGGGGGAUCGGCCACACUGGAACUGGAACACCGUCCAGGCCCCUACGGGAGGGAGCAGUAGGGAAUCUUCCGCAAUGGGCGAAAACCUGACGGAACAACGGCGCGUGAGGUGAAGAAGGCUUCCGAUCGGAAAACUCUGUUAUUAGGGGAAAACAAAUGUGUAAGUAACUAUGCACGUCUUGACGGUACCUAAUCAGAAAGCCACGGCUAACUACGUG
RNAcentral lists this ribosomal RNA (497 nucleotides) under uncultured bacterium. RNAcentral describes it as "partial 16S ribosomal RNA". It matches the Rfam family "Bacterial small subunit ribosomal RNA", at positions 28 to 507 of the family's 1533-position model. The record is from RNAcentral.